Molecule: ribosomal RNA, 254 nt
Filed under: uncultured bacterium
Lineage: Bacteria
Description: partial 16S ribosomal RNA
Rfam family: Bacterial small subunit ribosomal RNA
Source: RNAcentral
UACGGGGGGAGCAAGCGUUGUUCGGAUUUACUGGGCGUAAAGGGCGCGUAGGCGGCCACCGCAAGUCGACUGUGAAAUCUCCGGGCUUAACCCGGAAAGGUCAGCCGAUACUGCGGGGCUAGAGUGCAGAAGGGGCAACUGGAAUUCUCGGUGUAGCGGUGAAAUGCGUAGAUACUGGGAGGAACACCGGUGGCGAAGGCGGCUACCUGGACCGGUUCUGACGCUGAGGCGCGAAAGCGUGGGGAGCAAACAGG